Molecule: long non-coding RNA, 335 nt
Organism: Oncorhynchus tshawytscha (Chinook salmon)
Lineage: Eukaryota; Metazoa; Chordata; Actinopteri; Salmoniformes; Salmonidae
Source: Ensembl
GGAGAGAAGGAGAGAAGGAGCGAGGUGAGAAGGAGAGAGGUGAGAAGGAGAGAGGAGAGAAGGAAGAAGGAGCGAGGUGAGAAGGAGAGAAGGAGCGAGGUGAGAAGGAGUGAGGAGAGAAGGAGAGAGGAUAGAAGGAGUGAGGAGAGAAGGAGUGAGGAGAGAAGGAGUGAGGUGAGAAGGAGCGAGGUGAGAAGGAGUGAGGUGAGAAGGAGAGAGGAGAGAAGGAGCGACGUGGAGCGAGGAGAAAAGGAGCGAGGUGAGAAGGAGUGAGGAGAGAAGGAGAGAAGAGAGAAGGAGUGAGGAGAGAAGGAGGGAGGAGAGAAGGAGAGAAG